CCUACGGGUGGCAGCAGUGGGGAAUAUUGGACAAUGGGGGGAACCCUGAUCCAGCCAUGCCGCGGGUGUGAAGAAGGCCCUCGGGUUGUAAAGCACUUUCAGUGAGGAAGAACGCCUGGUGGUUAAUACCCAUCAGGAAAGACAUCACUCACAGAAGAAGCACCGGCUAACUCCGUGCCAGCAGCCGCGGUAAUACGGAGGGUGCGAGCGUUAAUCGGAAUUACUGGGCGUAAAGCGCGCGUAGGUGGCUUGAUAAGCCGGUUGUGAAAGCCCCGGGCUCAACCUGGGAACGGCAUCCGGAACUGUCAAGCUAGAGUGCAGGAGAGGAAGGUAGAAUUCCCGGUGUAGCGGUGAAAUGCGUAGAGAUCGGGAGGAAUACCAGUGGCGAAGGCGGCCUUCUGGACUGACACUGACACUGAGGUGCGAAAGCGUGGGUAGCAAACAGGAUUAGAUACCCCUGUAGUC
This 465-nucleotide ribosomal RNA is filed under the name Vreelandella stevensii. RNAcentral's name for it is "partial 16S ribosomal RNA". It matches the Rfam family "Bacterial small subunit ribosomal RNA", at positions 338 to 795 of the family's 1533-position model. The record is from RNAcentral. Lineage: Bacteria; Pseudomonadati; Pseudomonadota; Gammaproteobacteria; Oceanospirillales; Halomonadaceae.